AUACGGAGGGUGCAAACGUUAAUCGGAAUUACUGGGCGUAAAGCGCGCGUAGGCGGCUUGAUAAGUCGGAUGUGAAAGCCCCGGGCUCAACCUGGGAAUUGCAUUCGAUACUGUCAGACUAGAGUAUGGUAGAGGGAAGUGGAAUUCCAGGUGUAGCGGUGAAAUGCGUAGAUAUCUGGAGGAACAUCAGUGGCGAAGGCGACUUCCUGGACCAAUACUGACGCUGAGGUGCGAAAGCGUGGGGAGCAAACAGGAUUAGAAACCCCAGUAGUCC
Molecule: ribosomal RNA, 274 nt
Filed under: uncultured bacterium
Lineage: Bacteria
Description: partial 16S ribosomal RNA
Rfam family: Bacterial small subunit ribosomal RNA
Source: RNAcentral